Molecule: ribosomal RNA, 844 nt
Filed under: Phyllosticta capitalensis
Lineage: Eukaryota; Fungi; Ascomycota; Dothideomycetes; Botryosphaeriales; Phyllostictaceae
Description: partial 28S ribosomal RNA
Rfam family: Eukaryotic large subunit ribosomal RNA
Source: RNAcentral
UGCCUUAGUAACGGCGAGUGAAGCGGCAAUAGCUCAAAUUUGAAAGCUGGCGUCUUCGACGUCCGCGUUGUAAUUUGUAGAGGAUGCUUCGGCGAAGACUCCUGCCUAAGUCCCCUGGAACGGGGCGUCAUAGAGGGUGAGAAUCCCGUAUGUGGCGGGCAGUCUAAGCCAUGUGAAGCUCCUUCGACGAGUCGAGUUGUUUGGGAAUGCAGCUCUAAAUGGGAGGUAAAUUUCUUCUAAAGCUAAAUAUUGGCCAGAGACCGAUAGCGCACAAGUAGAGUGAUCGAAAGAUGAAAAGCACUUUGGAAAGAGAGUUAAAAAGUACGUGAAAUUGUUGAAAGGGAAGCGCUUGCAACCAGACUCGCUCGUAGUUGCUCAGCCGGCCUCUUGGCCGGUGUACUCUUCUACGAUCGGGCCAGCAUCAGUUCGGGCGGCAGGAUAAAGGUGUCGGGAAUGUAGCACCCUUCGGGGUGUGUUAUAGCCCGGCGCGGAAUGCUGCCAGCCUGGACUGAGGAUCUCGCUUCGGCAAGGAUGCUGGCGUAAUGGUUGUAAGCGGCCCGUCUUGAAACACGGACCAAGGAGUCUAACAUCUAUGCGAGUGUUUGGGUGUCAAACCCAUGCGCGUAAUGAAAGUGAACGGAGGUGGGAACCCCUCACGGGGUGCACCAUCGACCGAUCCUGAUGUCUUCGGAUGGAUUUGAGUAAGAGCAUAGCUGUUGGGACCCGAAAGAUGGUGAACUAUGCCUGAAUAGGGUGAAGCCAGAGGAAACUCUGGUGGAGGCUCGCAGCGGUUCUGACGUGCAAAUCGAUCGUCAAAUUUGGGUAUAGGGGCGAAAGACUAAUC